ACUGUGAAGUCACAAGAGGCCCUGAGCUCUGUGGGCCCCAGGUGCCCCAGGAAAACUUGGGGGAGAAUGGGCAUCCCACCCCAGCACUUUCUAGGAAGGAGGGCAGCAUUUUGAAGGGCUGGAAGUAGAGGAAGGAGGUUGCGGGUAGAAGACUCCAUACUUUCUGUGAUGCCUAUUCCUUAGCUUGAGAUGAAUGUUUUCUCAGUAUCCUAUGCUGAAAACAGGUAGAUACUAAUAUCGAUCUUCAAGGGAGGGCUGUUGAGUUUUGAAUAAGACAAAAACAUGGAAGCAAUCAGCACCAUGCUGGAGAGCCUUUAUAUAACCAAAGAUAUUUUUGGACCAUGAAUUCGGAAAUUCUCGGAGCCACCCAUCAGUGCCUGAGCUUCAGUGAGUCCAUAUCCCAUGUCACCCACGGCAAAGGAGAAUCUAAGACUUCUGAAGAGUUUCUUGCUUCUUUCCUGUGGGGCAGUGACUCCACUUCCCAGCAGUAAUGGAAUAUCCUGAAUUAGCUACAUUAAUGUUAGAACCAUUUGGACCUCACCCAGGACUUCAACUACAUUAUGAGUAACUCCUGGACGAUUGGCACAGAAGGCACAAGGCAAAUACCUAUCUCUGUACACCCUGUGCUACUGUGUCAUGUGCUGCUCCAGGCAACUCCAAUGGAUUGGCCACCCUGGCCAAUGUGUUCUAGUAUGUUAGGUUUAUGUUCCCCUGCUUUCUACAAUCCUGUUCAAAGAGUUGCUGACUUAACCACAGAGAGGAUUCCAGAACAUGAGACACAGAAUAAACUUGAGCAAUCAUAGUCCAUCCACUUCAUUUUCUCAUCAAAAACCAAAGGUCCAGUGAAGCUCUGGAACUCAACGCUGUAAAGGAGCGAAGGAGCUUCUAUACAGA
Molecule: non-coding RNA, 894 nt
Filed under: Pan troglodytes (chimpanzee)
Lineage: Eukaryota; Metazoa; Chordata; Mammalia; Primates; Hominidae
Source: RNAcentral